RNAcentral lists this transfer RNA (72 nucleotides) under Phytohabitans maris. RNAcentral describes it as "tRNA-Arg". It matches the Rfam family "tRNA". Rfam says of the family: Transfer RNA (tRNA) molecules are approximately 80 nucleotides in length. Their secondary structure includes four short double-helical elements and three loops (D, anti-codon, and T loops). Further hydrogen bonds mediate the characteristic L-shaped molecular structure. tRNAs have two regions of fundamental functional importance: the anti-codon, which is responsible for specific mRNA codon recognition, and the 3' end, to which the tRNAs corresponding amino acid is attached (by aminoacyl-tRNA synthetases). tRNAs cope with the degeneracy of the genetic code in two manners: having more than one tRNA (with a specific anti-codon) for a particular amino acid; and 'wobble' base-pairing, i.e. permitting non-standard base-pairing at the 3rd anti-codon position. The record is from RNAcentral. Lineage: Bacteria; Bacillati; Actinomycetota; Actinomycetes; Micromonosporales; Micromonosporaceae.
CUCCCGCUAGCUCAAUGGAGAGAGCACCCGCGUCCUAAGCGGUCGGUCAGGGUUCGACUCCUGGGCGGGAGA